This 1347-nucleotide ribosomal RNA is filed under the name Nola angustipennis. RNAcentral describes it as "16S ribosomal RNA". The record is from RNAcentral. Lineage: Eukaryota; Metazoa; Arthropoda; Insecta; Lepidoptera; Nolidae.
GGGGUAAUAAUUAAUAAAAUAAAAUAUAAUAAAAAAAUUUUUAAAAUAUUAAAUGGGGGUUUUAGUAUAUUUAAGAAAAAAUUAUAUAUUUUAUAGUGAAUUAGUAUUGUAAAAGAAUUUUGAAAUAUAUUAAAUAAUAAUUUAUUUAAAAGUAAUUUUUAAUUAAUGUAUCUUGUGUAUCAGAGUUUAUUAAAAAAAUAUUUUUAUUAAAAUUUUCUCGAAUUUAAAAGAGAUAAUUAAUUAUAAUAGUUAUUGUGGCAUAAAUAUUAUUAAUAGUUAAUUUGAAAUGAAAUGUUAAUCGUUUUUAAAUAUAUCUAGUUUUUUUAGAAAAAAGUUUAAUUUUAAAUUUCUUUAAAAAUAAAUUAAUUAAUUAAUUUAUUUUUAAAGAAAUUUUAUAAUUUAAGGGAUAAGCUUUAAAUUAAAUUGAUAUAAUUAAUUUAUUUUAAAAAUGAAAAUUAUAUAAUUUAAAUUGUUAAAAAAUUUUAAUUUGUUAUAAAUAAUUUCAUUAAAUUAUAAAAUUUAAUAAAUAUUUAUUUUUUUAUAAAAAAAUAAAUUAUAAUAAUAAAAAUUUAGUUAUAAUGAUAAAAUUAGUAUAUAAUUAAAAUAAUGAAUUAAUUUAUUAAAAUAAGUAAAUUAAAGGAAUUCGGCAAAUUUAAAUAUUCACUUGUUUAUCAAAAACAUGUCUUUUUGAAAUAAUUUAAAGUCUAAUCUGCCCACUGAUAUUAUAUUAAAGGGCUGCAGUAUAUUGACUGUACAAAGGUAGCAUAAUCAUUAGUCAUUUAAUUGAUGACUUGUAUGAAGGAUUGGAUGAAAUAUUAACUGUCUUUAAUUUAAAUUAUUGAAUUUAAUUUUUAAAUUAAAAAGUUUAAAUUUAUUAAAAAGACGAGAAGACCCUAUAGAGUUUUAUAAAUUUAGAUAAUUUAAUAAUAAUUUAUUAAAUUAGUAUAAAAAUUAAUUAAUUUAUUUUAUUGGGGUGAUAGAAAAAUUUAUAUAACUUUUUUUAUAAGUAAACAUAAAUAAGUGAAUAAAUGAUCCAUUAUUAAUGAUUAAAAGAAAAAAUUACCUUAGGGAUAACAGCGUAAUUUUUUUUUUUAGUUCACAUAAAAAAAAGAGUUUGCGACCUCGAUGUUGGAUUAAGAUAAAAUUUAAAUGCAGAAGUUUAAAGUUUUUGAUCUGUUCGAUCAUUAAAAUCUUACAUGAUCUGAGUUCAAACCGGUGUAAGCCAGGUUGGUUUCUAUCUUUUAAAAAAUAAAAUAUUUUAGUACGAAAGGAUUAAAUAUUUAAAUUAAAUUUAUUUAAAAAUGAUUAAUAAUAAUUUUAUUAUAAAAAUUUAAUUUUAUUAUUUAU